This 691-nucleotide long non-coding RNA is filed under the name Gallus gallus (chicken). RNAcentral describes it as "long non-coding RNA NONGGAT005204". Lineage: Eukaryota; Metazoa; Chordata; Aves; Galliformes; Phasianidae. The record is from RNAcentral.
CCGCGAUGCACCCCCAGCUGCAUGCAGCCCCUCAGUCUCUUGCAAUCUUCCCCCUGCCCGUUGCAGUGCAUCCCAGCAGCCUGCCCUCCCCCAAAGCCAUUUCAGUCCUUCCUGGCCCUUUGCAAUGCCCCCCAGUCACUUUGCAGUUCCCCUGACCCAUUGCAGUCCCCUGUCCUUUGCCGUGCACUCAGCAGCCUGCAGCCCCCCAGUUCUUUGCAAUGCAUCCUUGCUGCUUGCAAUAUCCCCCGUCCCAUUGCAAAGCACUCCAGCUGCGUGCAGGCACGCCAACCCGUUGGAAUUCCCCCUGGCCCAUUGCAACCCCUCAGCUCUUUGCAACACCCCUCAGCUGCUUGCCGUCCCCCCAGCCCAUUGCAAUCCCUCCAUCCCAUUGCAGUGCACUUGGAGUGCACCCUUGGAGUAACACGUAGGGCUCGGGAGCACCACCCCAAAAGCACCCACCCUGCUCAGUGCCAGCACCCCCGGCCAACCACCAACCUAGGGCUGAAAGGGUGGAACACACCGUUUUUGCAUCGUUUUGCCCCCCUGCACGCCCGCUCCCCUCCCCAAGGGAACCUUCUGAUGGCUGAGCAGUCCCUGCCGCGCCGCCCGCCUGCACCUCCCGUCCCAACCCCCGGAGACCUGCAGGAAUUCGGCGUCCGACCCCCAGCCGCGGCCGAUGCGCAGGUGUAGG